Molecule: ribosomal RNA, 1095 nt
Filed under: uncultured Bacteroidota bacterium
Lineage: Bacteria; Pseudomonadati; Bacteroidota
Description: bacterial SSU rRNA
Rfam family: Bacterial small subunit ribosomal RNA
Source: RNAcentral
AGGGUUUGAUCCUGGCUCAGAACGUACGCUAGCGGUGUGGAUUAGGCAUGCAAGUCGUGCGCGAAAGCCUUCGGGCGAGUAAAGCGGCGAAAGGGUGAGUAACACGUAACCAACGUACCCCUCAGAUCGGAAUAACCUCUGGAAACGGUGGGUAAUGCCGAAUGGUCCCAGGAGAGACAUCUCUCCGAGGGUAAACGGUGCCUUCGGGUGCUGCUGAGGGAGCGGGUUGCGGCCUAUCAGUUUGUUGGUGGGGUAACGGCCUACCAAGACGAUGACGGGUAGCGGGUCUGAGAGGAUGAUCCGCCACACUGGGACUGAGACACUGCCCAGACUCCUACGGGAGGCUGCAGUCGAGAAUCUUCCACAAUGGGCGAAAGCCUGAUGGAGCGACACCGCGUGCAGGAUGAAGGCCUUAGGGUUGUAAACUGCUGUCACGCUAUAGGAACCCAUGGUCGUUAAUAGCGGCCGUGCUGACCAAAGCGAGAGGAAGCGCCGGCUAACUCCGUGCCAGCAGCCGCGGUAAUACGGAGGGCGCAAGCGUAGUUCGGAUUUACUGGGCAUAAAGAGCACGUAGGCGGCUCGCUCAGUCAGGUGUGAAAGCCCACGGCUCAACCGUGGAACUGCACCUGAUACUGGCGAGCUUGAGGACGGAAGGGGUGAGUGGAACUCCAGGUGGAACGGUGAAAUGUAUAGAUAUCUGGAGGAACACCGGUGGCGAAAGCGGCUCACUGGUCCGUCUCUGACGCUGAGGUGCGAAAGCUAGGGUAGCGAACGGGAUUAGAUACCCCGGUAGUCCUAGCCGUAAACGAUGGAUACUAGCUUGUGGGAUCUUCGGAUUUCACUUGCGUAGCUAAUGUGUUAAGUGCCCCGCCUGGGGAGUACGCUCGCAAGGGUAAAACUCAAAGGAAUUGACGGGGGAUCACACAAGCAGUGGAGCAUGUUGUUUAAUUCGAAGCAACGCGAAGAACCUUACCAGGCCUUGACAUGUGCGGAUUAGCUGCGUGAAAGCGUAGUGACGGCUCUUCGGAGUUGGAACGUACACAGGUGUUGCAUGGCUGUCGUCAGCUCGUGCCGUGAGGUGUUGGGUUAAGUCCC